This is a long non-coding RNA of Zalophus californianus (California sea lion), 1685 nucleotides long. RefSeq lists it as uncharacterized. NCBI's taxonomy places the organism in Eukaryota, Metazoa, Chordata, Mammalia, Carnivora, Otariidae. The transcript is spliced from 3 exons. The record is from RefSeq and is a predicted model, not a curated record.
CCGCGCGGGCAGUUGCGGCGAGCGCUGAGGGAGGGAGGCCGGGCUUACACCCAGGGGUGGGUCUCCUGAGACAAACAGGGCUGGAGGGUGGGGAUCCCCGCCCGCCGGCGCCCUGGACCCGGAGUGAGGAGGAAUCCAACGGGAGCGCCCAGGCGCCGAGGCCCCGGGCGGAUGAGGGAGAACUGCGGCGCCCCGGAGCAGCCUGCUGGGACCGGCCCUCUGCGGGCAGCCGGGCGAGGGCGCCCCCGCGGCGAGGAGCAGGUCUCUUGGGGCGGGGAGGCCGAGCCCCCUGGCGAGUCGUUCGGGGAGUCGGGACCCCGCGGCCCUCAGCUCGCCGGCAAGUCCCCGGUGGCAACUGCCCGGAGCCCAGAGGCGCCCGGAGCCCGCCCGCUGCACCCGCGGGAGCGGCGAGGGAUGUGGGACUGCGCUCAGUUUCCCGUCUUCCUGUGCCUCUUUCCCGACCUGUUUGAGCACAGGCCCCAAUUUUAGAGGCUGUGGAAGGGAGAGCUUAGCCCAGGCCUGCUAGCAGGGCCUUUACCUGCCACGGGCUCUUGCCAGUUCUGGCUAAGGGUGAGUGCGCGGGAGGUCUCGCCGGCCGCCCUGCCAAGUGCUCACUCACUGGCUGUGCGCUAGUGGCUGAAACACUGAUCGCCAGGGCAGACCUCGGUGACUUAGAUCUUGUAAAGCCCUGAGCUGUCCUGACCCCCGAGACGCAACUCCGGAGGGAAGAUUUCUCCAUGUCAGGCUUAGAUCAGAUUUGUCCGCUUUUACCAAGAGCUUGUCGACAAAGGCUUUGAGAGACACACUGUUGGGCUGUGCGCUUCGCCACUAGAUUUAGGCACCGUGGAGGUAGGACAAGUCAGCUUCCUACACCCACACCACUGAAACAGACAAAUGCAUACAGCAAAUGUGGCAGGCAGUGGCUUUUUUAUUUGAUUAUCUUAUGCAUAGAUUAUUCUUGGCAGAAAGGACUUUAUGCCACCUAGACCCACUUCCCCCUGCAUGAAGGAAGUCUUGCAGCCUCUUCCUGGAUAUUCAAAUCAAAGCAGAUACUCAGUUUCCAUAGAGCUGGACAGGAAUGACUUUCAUCUGCUCCAUAUGGCAUCCACAGAGAUGGCUCAAACUGAGACUGGACAAUCCACUUUCAGUACGGAUCACUCACAUGGCUGGCAAGUUAAUGCUGGCUGUCGGUUGGCAGUUUGGCUGGUCUGGGGUCUGGGAGCAAGGGGCCUUGCUUCUUCUCCAAGUGGGCUUCUCCUCAGAUUCUUGGGCUUCUUCACUGGACAAUGGCUGAGUUCCCAGAACAAAUGUCCCAAGAGAUCCAAACCAAAGGCACUUUCAUGCUCUGUCCUUGGAAAUCAUACAAUAUAGUUUCCACUGUUCCUUAUUAGUUGAGAGAAUCCCAAAGUUUCACUCAGAUUAAGAGGAGGAGAACAAAGAUUCCAUCCAUGAGGUAGUGCAAGGUUGUAUUAUACAAUGAGCGUAUGGGAUGAAAGACAUUAUAUUCUAGAGUUGAUAUUUUAACCUCUCUCAUUAACAAAGCAUUGGAACACUUUAUCUUCAACAUGCUCCGUCUGUUCUUUGUAUAUAUUUUAUUGAAUGCUUUUUUCCUUUUUCUAAGAAAAGAUUUUAUUUAUUUAUUUAUUUAUUUAUUUGAGAGAGAGAGAGGAAGAGGGGAGAGGACA